RNAcentral lists this long non-coding RNA (1254 nucleotides) under Ananas comosus (pineapple). RNAcentral describes it as "long non-coding RNA (ACOM_LNC017252)". Lineage: Eukaryota; Viridiplantae; Streptophyta; Magnoliopsida; Poales; Bromeliaceae. The record is from RNAcentral.
AGGGUAAAUUGCAUUCAAAUUAUGAUCAGUUGGGCGACACUUUGGUUCUCAAACUUUAUUAACUAAUAUUGAUGUAUCGCUAACCGAGAAUUGUAAUUAAUGAUGCAUCAAUAAUUAAUUAAACUCCUAUGUCACUAUAACAUUAGUGAUGCAUCAAUAUUUACUCAACUAAAUUAGAUCGUACAACUUAAUUAUAAUAAUUCUAAAAAUUUGAAUAAAAAAUUAUAAUAAAUUAAAAUUUGAGUUUUAAAGUGCCUUCCCCCACCGCACGGUCUUAGGACCAAGCCUUUAUAAUUUACCGUAUAAUUUAUAAAUAAAUAAACAUAAAAGUUGUUGGUUUGUAUAGCAUUUAUGUUUUUUAAAUUAAAAGCACGCGACAUGAAAAUUAGGACUAUCUACUAGAGUAAGUCUACUGUAUCACACUUAUACCAUAUCAUUAAUAACUAACCAAUGUUAUCUCUUUGUUUGAGAAAAAAAUGUAAUAAAAAUAAUUUUCUAGUAUGAUGGAGGGAUAAAAUUAAGGAAGAAGGUCUGAUUGAUUGAAAAUAUCAUAUCAGUAAUAUAACCGAUGCAUUAUUGACUUUUUCCAUCUCACGAAUCAUAAAGCAUAAAUAAAAAACCUCACCUACAUGUAGGGCCCGUUUGUUUUGGUGUAAGUGGAGUGAUGGAACUCAAGUUCCAUCACUUUCGUUAUUUGUUUUAAUGUAAGUGAAAAAUAUAAUGUAACUCAAGUUACGUUAGAGCUCCACUUCACCUACUCUCGACUUCCUCCUCUAAAGUGUCAAACUCGAUUUUCACUACACUCAACCUCCUCUAAAAAAUUUAUUAAACAGUAAAACCUAAACUCUACUUCCUUUAUAAUGGGUUAGAAUUACCUUAUUUAUAAUAAAUUAGAAUUAUCUUUAAAUAAUUAAAAAAAAAAUAAUUAUAUAAUAGAUUAAAUUUUAUAGUGGUAAAUUUAUUACUAUAUUUAUGAGAUAAUGAGAUCCACUUACUUACAUCAAAACAACCAACGGAACUCAAAAAAUUAAUUUUACCAGCACCAAGUUACAUCAAAACAAACAACAGAAGUGAUUGAAUUUAACUUUCAGAUGGUACGAGUUACGUCAAAACAAACAACAAAAUAAUAAUCACACUUCAGAAAAACUCAAUCACCACUACACUCGACUUACGUUGAAUCUACAAAUACGUCAAUCCAAACGCUCCCGUACAGCACAUAGCAAUCUCUUAUUAAUUAUUAUUAACAACACACAU